GGGCCUGUAGCUUAACUGCAUAAAGCAAGCCUCUCCUAAGGGCUAGAGUACAGGUUGGAUUCCUGUCAGGCUCA
Transfer RNA from Hymenobacter sedentarius, 74 nucleotides. It matches the Rfam family "tRNA". From Rfam's summary of the family: Transfer RNA (tRNA) molecules are approximately 80 nucleotides in length. Their secondary structure includes four short double-helical elements and three loops (D, anti-codon, and T loops). The record is from Rfam. NCBI's taxonomy places the organism in Bacteria, Pseudomonadati, Bacteroidota, Cytophagia, Cytophagales, Hymenobacteraceae.